Molecule: non-coding RNA, 1008 nt
Organism: Nelumbo nucifera (sacred lotus)
Lineage: Eukaryota; Viridiplantae; Streptophyta; Magnoliopsida; Proteales; Nelumbonaceae
Source: RefSeq, a predicted model, not a curated record
UGUUCACAGUCUAUCCAGUUGGACCAUUUGAUGAGAACCAAUUCCUUGCAGCUAUUUCCCCGAUUUUGGGACAAAACCACCAAUCAAAUUUCCAUUGUCCAUCUACCCUAUCUGCAAAACAUAUAAAAUUUCCAGAUAAAGUUCAUGAAUUGUCUGAUUUUGUGUUUACUUACUUGACUGUUGCAAAUUAUUGAAUCUACUGGAAGGUUCUAGGUCCUGACAUGCUUUCUUUGUCUUUCAAAUGGCUUGUUGUAACUACUUGUAGCGCCUGCUCAAGCUCAAGAAAGUCAGCCUGCUCAGUCCACUAAUAAUCUUCUUGGAAAAGUUGUUAGUUUCAAACCAACCCAACACCAGAUAUAAGUGAGCUUCUUCGAACUACCAAUAUUCCUUGAGGACGGCGAGGUAGGAAGGGCGAUAGCCAACCAACAGGAACUACUUCCCAGAUUACAAGUAAAAGGAUCACUCCUCAAUCUUGCACUGCUCCAUCCUUGUCUGUAAGGCAGACUGAUCCCGUCCACCAUAUCAAGUGGAAAGGUUUCAUGGAAGAAUCCCCUUAACCAAAGAAAGAGAAAUGUGGUUUAUGCAAAAUGAAUAUCGAACUUGUACCAAUAGGUUCUCAGUCCCAAGCUUCCAGUCAUCAAAAACCUGCAGUUUUGCCAUGAAGGCAUACUUUUCAUGCUGACUGUUUAGAGCUCAUCACCACCAAGGAGCAGUCAAAAGACCCUUCAUGCAUUUCUUGUGCCCUUGGCGAUGUCCCAAGCCCUCCCAAAUGACUGCCCACUCAUUCACUUAUUUUGUUUCUCUUAUGAAAAUUUUGUUCUGUAGUUUGUUGGCAGCAGCUGAAUAGUGGUGGAAAGGAUAUACCAACAAAUGUAGAUAGGUGAUAUAUUGAAAUUGAGUCUGAUAACAGUGUGUACAUAAUCUGUAAAUCCUUAUACCAGGAGUCUCUUGAUUAAUUGGGAAUAGAUUCAGCUUACAGAGAGAGCAAAUUUAUACAAAACUUUUUUA